GAGAAUUGGGGUGGGGCGCGCCAAGAGGAGCAAGCAUUAUAGAACGUGGGGAGCAUGAGAAAUACACGGAGGUGGAAACGCCGGAGUGGCUGGCGGGUAAAGGCAGCGGGCGCAGAUGAAGCGGGCUGGGCGUCCCACGCGCAGAACCGUCCCGGACAGAAGCCGCAGGGGCUGCGCUGGCUGGAAAAAGGAACGCGAGGACAGCGCGCGUGGCGCGGGGUCUGCUCCAGGACGGAAUCUUUUGGGUGGCCCGCAUGAGGGGUUUGCAGGACCCCGGGCCUUUGGGAAGUUAUCUGCUAAACUCCAGUAGACCCUGAGGAGCAGCGGCUCAUGAAUCUUCUUAAACUUCUGUCUUCAGCGGCUGGGCCAGCUGAAGGUGACCAUGACACACGAGGGAGAGAGAAGCCCGCGAGAGGCGGAGAAUUGUGGGGUCGUCCAGGAGGGUCGACAAGGCAAAGAACCUGAAGACCACCCAAAAGGGUACCUAAAGUUGAACUUCCUCUCUUUUUAGAAGAAUGGAUUUCUCGGAGUCCGAAAAAUUUAUGGUUCUUCUCUGGAAGAAUUUUAUUUUAAAGAGGCGGCGAUGUAUUGCUUUAGUUGUGGAAAUGGUCCUCACAUUUCUGUUUAGUGCUGCACUUUUGGCAACACGCUCUGUUAUUACUAUAAAGAACGGACCUUUCGAUUUUGCUGCUCAGCCUGUCGAUGAAGUGCCUUUCUACAUCACAGCUUCCUUAAUUUCUCCUUCUCCUUUGGAAUUGGCUUACGUGCCUUCCAGAAGUACUGUGGUUCAGGGUAUUAUUGAAAGGGUGAAAAUGGAUUUAAACCCUCAAAUGAAAGGUUAGAAAUUAACAUUUUCUGAAAAAACAUACAGAAUUACUAAAUCGAUUUAGUGAAGACAUACUUACAACCUUAUUAACUGGUUCUUAACCUCCCAAGUAAAACAUCGUUGGAAUCCUCAUACUAAGUAUAAAUAUUAUGGACUUUGUUAAACUUGAAAGUUAAAUUUAUAUAAAAUAUUUUGUUCAUAGAGCCAAGAACAAAUAGUAAUAUUUCAAAAUGAGAUGACCAAUUAUUAUUAUUAUUCUAAGUUGUUAUCCAGUUUUGUGAUACUGUUUUUUCUAUCUGGUUGUGCUUCUUGAACCUGGGUAAGUAUACCUCCAGGGGUGUGUGAUUUUGUGCCACAGGUCAGUGGUCAGUUAUUUAAAAUAAUGUUUUAUAUUAAAAUGUGGUGUGAGUAAUAUAGGAAGGCUUUAGAAAACACUUAAGCUAUGUAGAAUUAUUUUAAAAGCCCUCAGUCUCUCACUUACCUUCAUAUUCCCGGAUCAGUUUCUUACCUCUUUCUCUUAGAGGUAAAUACUGUGAGAAGUUUAGGUCGGCCGGGCCCAGUGGCUCACGCCUGUAAUCCCAGCAUUUUGGGAGGCUGAGGUGGGCAGAUCACCUGAGGUCAGGAGUUCAAGACCAGCCUGGCCAACAUGGCAAAACCCCAUCUCUACUAAAAAUAUAAGAAUUAGCCAGACAUGGUGGUAUGCACCUAUAGUCCCAGCUACUUGGGAGGCUGAGGCAUGCGAAUUGCUUGAACCCAGGAGGAGGAGGUUGCAGUGAGGUGAAAUUGCACCACUGCAUUCCAGCCUGGGUGACAGACCAAGACUCUGUCUC
This 1656-nucleotide small RNA is filed under the name Pan troglodytes (chimpanzee). Its description in RNAcentral is "processed transcript". The record is from RNAcentral. Lineage: Eukaryota; Metazoa; Chordata; Mammalia; Primates; Hominidae.